Molecule: ribosomal RNA, 620 nt
Filed under: uncultured Bacteroidota bacterium
Lineage: Bacteria; Pseudomonadati; Bacteroidota
Description: bacterial SSU rRNA
Rfam family: Bacterial small subunit ribosomal RNA
Source: RNAcentral
ACGCUAGCGGCAGGCCUAAUACAUGCAAGUCGAACGGUAACAUUGGUGCUUGCACCAGAUGACGAGUGGCGCACGGGUGCGUAACGCGUAUGCAAUCUACCUUUUACUAGAGUAUAGCCCAGAGAAAUUUGGAUUAAUCCUCUAUAAUAUCUUUAAGUUUCAUGACUUUUAGAUUAAAGUUUUAACGGUAAAAGAUGAGCAUGCGUCCUAUUAGUUUGUAGGUGAGGUAACGGCUCACCUAGACUACGAUAGGUAGGGGCCCUGAGAGGGGGAUCCCCCACACUGGUACUGAGACACGGACCAGACUCCUACGGGAGGCAGCAGUAAGGAAUAUUGGACAAUGGACGAAAGUCUGAUCCAGCCAUGCCGCGUGCAGGAUGAAAGCCCUAUGGGUUGUAAACUGCUUUUAUACAGGAAGAAACACUCGUACGUGUACGAGCUUGACGGUACUGUAAGAAUAAGGACCGGCUAACUCCGUGCCAGCAGCCGCGGUAAUACGGAGGGUCCGAGCGUUAUCCGGAAUCAUUGGGUUUAAAGGGUCCGCAGGCGGUCUUUUAAGUCAGAGGUGAAAGCCUACAGCUCAACUGUAGAACGGCCUUUGAUACUGAAAGACUUGAGUU